GAUGAACGCUGACAGAAUGCUUAACACAUGCAAGUCAACUUGAACUUCGGUUUGGGUGGCGGACGGGUGAGUAACGCGUAAAGAACUUGCCUCACAGUUAGGGACAACAUUUGGAAACGAAUGCUAAUACCUGAUAUUAUGAUUUUAGGGCAUCCUAGAAUUAUGAAAGCUAUAUGCGCUGUGAGAGAGCUUUGCGUCCCAUUAGCUAGUUGGAGAGGUAACGGCUCACCAAGGCGAUGAUGGGUAGCCGGCCUGAGAGGGUGAACGGCCACAAGGGGACUGAGACACGGCCCUUACUCCUACGGGAGGCAGCAGUGGGGAAUAUUGGACAAUGGACCAAGAGUCUGAUCCAGCAAUUCUGUGUGCACGAUGAAGUUUUUCGGAAUGUAAAGUGCUUUCAGUUGGGAAGAAAAAAAUGACGGUACCAACAGAAGAAGUGACGGCUAAAUACGUGCCAGCAGCCGCGGUAAUACGUAUGUCACAAGCGUUAUCCGGAUUUAUUGGGCGUAAAGCGCGUCUAGGUGGUUAUAUAAGUCUGAUGUGAAAAUGCAGGGCUCAACUCUGUAUUGCGUUGGAAACUGUGUAACUAGAGUACUGGAGAGGUAAGCGGAACUACAAGUGUAGAGGUGAAAUUCGUAGAUAUUUGUAGGAAUGCCGAUGGGGGAAGCCAGCUUACUGGACAAAUACUGACGCUGAACGCGAAAGCGUGGUAGCAACAGGAUAGAUCCCCUGGUAGUCAAGGGCGAAUUCCACAUGAAUAUCAAGCUUACCGAUACCGGCGACCCCAGGGGGGGCCGGUCCCACUUUGUUCCC
Molecule: ribosomal RNA, 813 nt
Filed under: uncultured Fusobacterium sp.
Lineage: Bacteria; Fusobacteriati; Fusobacteriota; Fusobacteriia; Fusobacteriales; Fusobacteriaceae
Description: bacterial SSU rRNA
Rfam family: Bacterial small subunit ribosomal RNA
Source: RNAcentral